AUUGAACGCUGGCGGAAUGCUUUACACAUGCAAGUCGAGCGGCAGCGCGGGGCAACCUGGCGGCGAGCGGCGAACGGGUGAGUAAUGUAUCGGAACGUACCCAGUCGUGGGGGAUAACUAUCCGAAAGGAUAGCUAAUACCGCUUACGUCCUGAGGGAGAAAGCGGGGGAUCGCAAGACCUCGCGCGAUUGGAGCGGCCGAUAUCGGAUUAGCUAGUUGGUGAGGUAAAGGCUCACCAAGGCGACGAUCCGUAGCUAGUCUGAGAGGACGACCAGCCACACUGGAACUGAGACACGGUCCAGACUCCUACGGGAGGCAGCAGUGGGGAAUUUUGGACAAUGGGGGCAACCCUGAUCCAGCCAUUCCGCGUGAGUGAAGAAGGCCUCGGUUGUAAGCUCUUCGGUCAGGAACGAAACGGUAGGGACGUCGUAACAUAGCCU
RNAcentral lists this ribosomal RNA (440 nucleotides) under uncultured bacterium. RNAcentral's name for it is "bacterial SSU rRNA". It matches the Rfam family "Bacterial small subunit ribosomal RNA", at positions 30 to 480 of the family's 1533-position model. The record is from RNAcentral.